UACGGAGGAUGCGAGCGUUAUCCGGAUUUAUUGGGUUUAAAGGGUGCGUAGGCGGGAUGCCAAGUCAGCGGUAAAAAUGCGGUGCUCAACGUCGUCGAGCCGUUGAAACUGGCGUUCUUGAGUGGGCGAGAAGUAUGCGGAAUGCGUGGUGUGGCGGUGAAAUGCAUAGAUAUCACGCAGAACUCCGAUUGCGAAGGCAGCAUACCGGCGCCCUACUGACGCUGAGGCACGAAAGCGUGGGUAUCGAACAGG
This 252-nucleotide ribosomal RNA is filed under the name uncultured bacterium. Its description in RNAcentral is "partial 16S ribosomal RNA". It matches the Rfam family "Bacterial small subunit ribosomal RNA", at positions 524 to 776 of the family's 1533-position model. The record is from RNAcentral.